CGGCGACCGGCGCACGGGUGAGUAACACGUAUGCGACCUGCCCGUAGCAGGGGGAUAAGCGGAAGAAAUUCCGUCUAAUACCGCGUAAUAUCUUUCGGGGGCAUCCCUGAGGGAUUAAAGGAAGUGAUUCCGGCUACGGAUGGGCAUGCGGCGCAUUAGCUAGUCGGCGGGGUAACGGCCCACCGAAGCGACGAUGCGUAGGGGUUCUGAGAGGAAGGUCCCCCACACUGGUACUGAGACACGGACCAGACUCCUACGGGAGGCAGCAG
RNAcentral lists this ribosomal RNA (269 nucleotides) under uncultured bacterium. RNAcentral's name for it is "partial 16S ribosomal RNA". It matches the Rfam family "Bacterial small subunit ribosomal RNA", at positions 89 to 354 of the family's 1533-position model. The record is from RNAcentral.